Molecule: long non-coding RNA, 804 nt
Organism: Perca flavescens (yellow perch)
Lineage: Eukaryota; Metazoa; Chordata; Actinopteri; Perciformes; Percidae
Exons: 3
Source: RefSeq, a predicted model, not a curated record
GGACCAUUGGUUGGUUAUAAAAGAGCUGAACCCUAUGUAAUGUACGAGCUUACUUUCGAGAAUGGGGCACUGUCACAGCAUGUAAGAUUAAGAUGCGCCCCAAUUUGGAGGGAAGAAGGCACUGGCGUAUGUGAGGUUUUCUACAGCGGAUGAAGCGGACAGAGCAGAAUGGGCUGCUCCUCACUACAUUGGAGGCGAUGUGGAUGUAAAACAAGUUGUUAGUCCAAAGAUGAGGAGGUCACCGCAGCCGUUGCUAUAACUCAACCACGCCGUUGAAUGGGCUUGGGCUACAUCCUGGAAGAUGCUCAGUGGUUAUGAUGAGUUGGACGGAUAAAGAAAUACCGUGCAACUUUGUCUUUAAGUUUAAAAUCAUAAAUGUAUGUUUGAGUUCAUUUAGAGAUUGUAAACUAACGUGGCUCGGAAAAAUCGAUGUGGCUGCAGUGAAAUAUUCUGUAAACACAAAGACAAAAAAACACAAGGAUAUAAAUAAAGCAGCAAAUCCUCGGCUAGGCCUAUGUAAGAACACAUCCUACACCUAUGGAUAUUUGUUUAGCUGAGUUGAUGUGAUAUAUAUUUUAUUGUACUGAUUCUAUGUUGUGUCUUAUGAUUGUCUACCUUGGGUGGAUAAUAACAUUGUAUUCUAUGUGUUUAAUGUUUGUCUAGAACAUAGUGGUGUUAAAAUAUAUAUUAUGUUAACUCCCUUUGUGCAGCCACUGUUGAUGAAUGCAAUAUGAUUAGUAAUUUAUAAAUGAUAUGACACUGCUAACCCAUCUAUAAUUGCCUAAAGAGAUGUAGCUACAUCAC